UGCGGGAAAAAUGUGAAAUGGCAGAUUUGAUGUGCUGUUGCCUCUCCCAUGAUGCCUUGCCCUGUAAGAAGACCUCUGGAGAAAGAGCAUUCAAAGCUUCUAUGGAAUUAAAUUAGACAUAAAUAAAUGAAAAUAAUGGUAGAAGUGUAGACACUGUAGAUCAGGCAAGGUUUGGCAUGAAUAGCAUGAAUUCAGGGCCCUUCUGCUCAUUCCAGGCAGACGAAUAAUAGCAGCUGCCAUUUAUUGAGCACCUACUAGGUCAAUGCAGCAUCUCUGCAGGAGAGACAUUGCCAUCUGUACCUUAUCAAUGGCAAAACUGACCCUCGGAACAGUGAACUGACCAACUGCACAACCUAUGAGGAACCAAAGCAACAGCAUUCAAAUCAAUAGCCCAACACGGACCUAGACUCUGAAUGAAGAGAAAGUGAACUCCAAAGUUGGCCCCCAAGCCAAGGCCUCACCCUAAGAGCUUGUACCUCCAGGACAGAAUCCACAACCUUCUGCUGUUGCAUCCUUUGAGGAACCACCUGGACAGUAGAUGUCCCUCAGAAGCCAUGACUGAGUUAGCAGACUUCAUCCUGCUGCUGGGGAGCUGAUUCUUAGCUAUUCAGCAGCACACCAUGGAUUCCUGGAGUCACUAAAGCUGGUAUAUAAACCACCUUACAAAGCUAGAACAUCUCAGACGGCUGUCUGGUCAGACAGGUCAAUAUUAAGCUCCCAGCCAAAGUGCACAGCAAAUCCCCAGAGUAACCAGAAAACUGUGGAAUGUGGUAGUCCCUUGCAGAUGGGAGAAGUGAGUAAGCAUCUCUUCUGAUUUUCCACACACAUCAGAGACAAAAUGAGAUCGCAAACACAAAUCAAUUCAAUUGUCUUGGAAUAUGACAGCUUGACUCACAACCCAACUCCUCGCUCCCUGACAAGGUUGUCUGCAUCCUAUUAAAGCUGAUGACUGCUGAGCUAUUGAUAUAGCACUGGAUCCUCUCACGAUGACAGCCUUUGAAUCAUAACUCUUUCUUCAUCACAGGAGUCACUGAAAAACCCUGUACAAUUGACACCAUAACAUGGGUGUCACUUUACAAAGUGGCUUAUUCUUUGGCAACAAUAAGGGCUUGUUAAUUUCUCCUCCCACUCUAGACCUCCUCCUGCAGCACCUCAGUAGAGCCCUUGCAAAAGCUCCAUUUCCUGGUCAUGGACAAUUCAUUACUUCCUGUCACACGUUGCUUACUGUCAUCUCUCUUUUGUAAUCACAGCAAGCCAUGACGGACUUCCUACAAAGUUUUAAUCAGUUCUUCAAAUGUCUUACCAGCAUCCACACUUCAGUGCUGGGUUAGUGAGUUAUCUAAGCCCAAAGAUUCAAUGGGAGAAUUGAACAUGAAGGCAAUUCUUGUCUGAUCAGAGAAUCUGAGGUACCAGAGAAAGCAAGAGUGAGAGGGACAGUUCUCAGCACAGACUUUAAUAACCCUGCAUGCUCAGCUGGACAGGCUUUGGGAAUGAGAGGAGCGCCAUGCCUACACUAAUCAGGCAUUUCCUGGUGUGAAGUACUCUGCUCAGUGGCGUAGGAUAACUCAGAAAAAUUAGAAUAUGUACUCUAUAAACUGGUGGAAGAGACAGGACGGAAGCAGAGUGACCAAUGGAGUACAGUAAAUGUGAGAGAGAAGAUAAACCAAAAUAACAA
Molecule: long non-coding RNA, 1675 nt
Organism: Tupaia belangeri chinensis (Chinese tree shrew)
Lineage: Eukaryota; Metazoa; Chordata; Mammalia; Scandentia; Tupaiidae
Exons: 3
Source: RefSeq, a predicted model, not a curated record